RNAcentral lists this ribosomal RNA (750 nucleotides) under uncultured bacterium. Its description in RNAcentral is "bacterial SSU rRNA". It matches the Rfam family "Bacterial small subunit ribosomal RNA", at positions 8 to 796 of the family's 1533-position model. The record is from RNAcentral.
AGAGUUUGAUCAUGGCUCAGAACGAACGCUGGCGGCAUGCCUAACACAUGCAAGUCGAACGGGAUCCGGACUUCGGUUCGGUGAGAGUGGCGGACGGGUGAGUAACGCGUGGGAAUCUGCCCAGUGGUGGGGGAUAACUGCGGGAAACUGCAGCUAAUACCGCAUGAGCCCGAGAGGGGAAAGAUUUAUCGCCAUUGGAGGAGCCCGCGUUCGAUUAGGUAGUUGGUGAGGUAACGGCUCACCNGCCUUCGAUCGAUAGCUGGUCUGAGAGGAUGAUCAGCCACACUGGGACUGAGAUACGGCCCGACUCCUACGGGAGGCAGCAGUGGGGAAUAUUGGACAAUGGGGGCAACCCUGAUCCAGCAAUGCCGCGUGAGUGAUGAAGGCCUUCGGGUUGUAAAGCUCUUUUGCCAGGGACGAUGAUGACGGUACCUGGAGAAUAAGCCCCGGCUAACUUCGUGCCAGCAGCCGCGGUAAUACGAAGGGGGCAAGCGUUGUUCGGAAUUACUGGGCGUAAAGGGCGCGUAGGCGGCUUAUCAAGUCAGGCGUGAAAUUCCCGGGCUCAACCUGGGGGCUGCGCUUGAUACUGAUGAGCUUGAAUGCGGGAGAGGAUAGUGGAAUUCCCAGUGUAGAGGUGAAAUUCGUAGAUAUUGGGAAGAACACCGGUGGCGAAGGCGGCUAUCUGGCCCGUAAUUGACGCUGAGGCGCGAAAGCGUGGGGAGCAAACAGGAUUAGAUACCCUAGUAGUCC